Molecule: small RNA, 398 nt
Filed under: Turicibacter sp. H121
Lineage: Bacteria; Bacillati; Bacillota; Erysipelotrichia; Erysipelotrichales; Turicibacteraceae
Description: cspA thermoregulator
Rfam family: cspA thermoregulator
Source: Rfam by way of RNAcentral
UUCUGUGUAUGAUACAAUUAAUUUAACUUAAUAGUCUUUUUUUAUUUAAAUUUGAACCACUGUGGUAGUGUUGAACUCGAACAUUGAUUGAAAUUUUUUGAAAUAUGGCAUUAAGAAAUAAAAUAUCUCAGGAGGUACUUGACUAUGACUACAGGUACAGUAAAAUGGUUUAACUCAGAAAAAGGUUUCGGAUUCAUCACUGUUGAAGGUGGAAACGAUGUAUUCGCUCACUUCUCAGCUAUCCAAGGUGAAGGAUUCAAAACUUUAGAAGAAGGUCAAAAAGUUUCUUUCGAAAUCGUUGAAGGUGACCGUGGACCUCAAGCAGCUAACAUCGUUAAAUUAUAAUUUUUAACUCAUUAGCUUAAAGGCUGUGAAUAGAGAAUCUAUUCACAGCCUUU